CCGUGCGGCGGCGUCCCUGCAGCCAAGUCUUGCCGGAGGACGUGCCGUGGGAGCCCGUGUCUGGCGGACUGGAGCAUUAAGGAGUAAAGUUGCUGCUUUAAAGACAUCAUCUUCUGGCUUCCAUUAAGUCCAGGACAUGUGCUGUAUUCCUGUCUUUGUUCCUCCAUAAGUGAUGUGUGUCUGUCUUCAGAAGCACCCUCUGAGUAACAGUGAUUGGAAGUAAAGCAUCUGUCUCCAGAAUGUCUUCAGAAAAUAAAGAGCAGCAUAAUCUUUCACCAAGGGACUUACCUGAAGAAGCCUAUGGCUUCCCACCUGAGCUCCCCCUGGGGGCUCAAAGAGGAUCAAGCACUGACUUAAGGCAGUUUGAGCCCAGUGAUCGGAGAAGAGCUUUUCGUAGGAUCCACAUGGAACUCCAUGAGAAACCAG
Molecule: long non-coding RNA, 426 nt
Filed under: Rattus norvegicus (Norway rat)
Lineage: Eukaryota; Metazoa; Chordata; Mammalia; Rodentia; Muridae
Description: long non-coding RNA NONRATT013847
Source: RNAcentral